RNAcentral lists this ribosomal RNA (253 nucleotides) under uncultured bacterium. Its description in RNAcentral is "partial 16S ribosomal RNA". It matches the Rfam family "Bacterial small subunit ribosomal RNA", at positions 524 to 776 of the family's 1533-position model. The record is from RNAcentral.
UACGAGGGGGGCGAGCGUUGUUCGGAAUUAUUGGGCGUAAAGGGUGCGUAGGCGGUUUGGUAAGUCUGAUGUGAAAUCUAUGGGCUCAACUCAUAGUCUGCAUCGGAAACUGCCGGGCUUGAGUGUGGGAGAGGUGAGUGGAAUUCCUGGUGUAGCGGUGAAAUGCGUUGAUAUCAGGAGGAACACCCAUGGCGAAGGCAGCAAACUGGUCAUCAACUGACGCUGAGGCGCGAAAGCGUGGGUAGCAAACAGG